UAACGCGUGAGGAAUCUGCCUCAAAGAGGGGGACAACAGUUGGAAACGACUGCUAAUACCGCAUAAGCCCACGGCUCGGCAUCGAGCAGAGGGAAAAGGAGUGAUCCGCUUUGAGAUGGCCUCGCGUCCGAUUAGCUAGUUGGUGAGGUAAUGGCCCACCAAGGCGACGAUCGGUAGCCGGACUGAGAGGUUGAACGGCCACAUUGGGACUGAGACACGGCCCAG
Molecule: ribosomal RNA, 225 nt
Filed under: uncultured bacterium
Lineage: Bacteria
Description: partial 16S ribosomal RNA
Rfam family: Bacterial small subunit ribosomal RNA
Source: RNAcentral